GUGUUUGCUUAAGCAGCACAUAUACUAAGAUUGGAACAAUACAGAGAAGAUUAGCAUGGCCCCUGCACAAGGAAUACACACAAAUUUGUGAAACAUUCCAUAUUUUU
Molecule: small nuclear RNA, 107 nt
Organism: Ochotona princeps (American pika)
Lineage: Eukaryota; Metazoa; Chordata; Mammalia; Lagomorpha; Ochotonidae
Source: RefSeq, a predicted model, not a curated record